This 253-nucleotide ribosomal RNA is filed under the name uncultured bacterium. Its description in RNAcentral is "partial 16S ribosomal RNA". It matches the Rfam family "Bacterial small subunit ribosomal RNA", at positions 524 to 776 of the family's 1533-position model. The record is from RNAcentral.
GACGUAGGGCGCGAGCGUUGUCCGGAUUUAUUGGGCGUAAAGCGCGUGUAGGCGGCCAGAUAGGUCUGCUGUGAAAACUCGAGGCUCAACCUCGAGCUGUCGGCGGAAACCAUCUGGCUAGAGUCCGGAAGAGGAGAGUGGAAUUCCUGGUGUAGCGGUGAAAUGCGCAGAUAUCAGGAAGAACACCUAUGGCGAAGGCAGCUCUCUGGGACGGUACUGACGCUGAGACGCGAAAGCGUGGGGAGCGAACAGG